This 497-nucleotide ribosomal RNA is filed under the name uncultured bacterium. RNAcentral describes it as "partial 16S ribosomal RNA". It matches the Rfam family "Bacterial small subunit ribosomal RNA", at positions 28 to 507 of the family's 1533-position model. The record is from RNAcentral.
GACGAACGCUGGCGGCGUGCCUAAUACAUGCAAGUUGAGCGAUGAAGAUUGGUGCUUGCACCAAUUUGAAGAGCAGCGAACGGGUGAGUAACGCGUGGGGAAUCUGCCUUUGAGCGGGGGACAACAUUUGGAAACGAAUGCUAAUACCGCAUAACAACUUUAAACAUAAGUUUUAAGUUUGAAAGAUGCAAUUGCAUCACUCAAAGAUGAUCCCGCGUUGUAUUAGCUAGUUGGUGAGGUAAAGGCUCACCAAGGCGAUGAUACAUAGCCGACCUGAGAGGGUGAUCGGCCACAUUGGGACUGCGACACGGCCCAAACUCCUACGGGAGGCAGCAGUAGGGAAUCUUCGGCAAUGGACGAAAGUCUGGCCGAGCAACGCCGCGUGAGUGAAGAAGGUUUUCGGAUCGUAAAACUCUGUUGGUAGAGAAGAACGUUGGUGAGAGUGGAAAGCUCAUCAAGUGACGGUAACUACCCAGAAAGGGACGGCUAACUACGUG